AGGUAAUAUUUAUUAAAAAAACCUAUUUCCUUUGGCGGCCUUUUUACCUAUCAGAGGAACCUGUUAUAAUCGACAAUACGCGUUAAAUUUUUCUUUUCCAUCUAUUAGCUUUUAUACCGCCGUCUUAAGAAUUAGCUUAAUUGCCAACUCAGCAUAAUAACGUUUCUAAGUCAGGUCAAGGUGAAGCUCAUUGGUAAGUUAAUAAUGGGUUACUUAUUAUUCUCAUUAAUGGACAAUUAUCAAAAGAUAACUGAUAAAAAGGAUUUGUUAGUAAUAAUAUAUGAUAAUACCUUAUUAUGAAAAAGAAAUCAGGUGU
RNAcentral lists this ribosomal RNA (316 nucleotides) under Missulena sp. MY2086. RNAcentral describes it as "partial 12S ribosomal RNA". The record is from RNAcentral. Lineage: Eukaryota; Metazoa; Arthropoda; Arachnida; Araneae; Actinopodidae.